GACGAACGCUGGCGGCGUGCUUAACACAUGCGAGUCGAACGGAAAGGCCCUUCGGGGUACUCGAGUGGCGAACGGGUGAGUAACACGUGGGUGAUCUGCCCUGCACUUUGGGAUAAGCCUGGGAAACUGGGUCUAAUACCGAAUAGGACCACGCGCUUCAUGGUGUGUGGUGGAAAGCUUUUGCGGUGUGGGAUGGGCCCGCGGCCUAUCAGCUUGUUGGUGGGGUAAUGGCCUACCAAGGCGACGACGGGUAGCCGGCCUGAGAGGGUGACCGGCCACACUGGGACUGAGAUACGGCCCAGACUCCUACGGGAGGCAGCAGUGGGGAAUAUUGCACAAUGGGCGCAAGCCUGAUGCAGCGACGCCGCGUGAGGGAUGACGGCCUUCGGGUUGUAAUCCUCUUUCAAUAGGGACGAAGCGCAAGUGACGGUACCUAUAGAAGAAGCACCGGCCAACUACGUG
This 462-nucleotide ribosomal RNA is filed under the name uncultured bacterium. RNAcentral's name for it is "partial 16S ribosomal RNA". It matches the Rfam family "Bacterial small subunit ribosomal RNA", at positions 28 to 507 of the family's 1533-position model. The record is from RNAcentral.